Molecule: transfer RNA, 74 nt
Filed under: Tropilaelaps mercedesae
Lineage: Eukaryota; Metazoa; Arthropoda; Arachnida; Mesostigmata; Laelapidae
Rfam family: tRNA
About the family: Transfer RNA (tRNA) molecules are approximately 80 nucleotides in length. Their secondary structure includes four short double-helical elements and three loops (D, anti-codon, and T loops). Further hydrogen bonds mediate the characteristic L-shaped molecular structure. tRNAs have two regions of fundamental functional importance: the anti-codon, which is responsible for specific mRNA codon recognition, and the 3' end, to which the tRNAs corresponding amino acid is attached (by aminoacyl-tRNA synthetases). tRNAs cope with the degeneracy of the genetic code in two manners: having more than one tRNA (with a specific anti-codon) for a particular amino acid; and 'wobble' base-pairing, i.e. permitting non-standard base-pairing at the 3rd anti-codon position.
Source: Rfam by way of RNAcentral
GCCUCCGUGGCGCAAUCGGCUAGCGCGUUCGGCUGUUAACCGAAAGGUUGGUGGUUCGAUCCCACUCGGGGGCG